GAUGAACGCUGGCGGCGUGCCUAAUACAUGCAAGUCGAGUGAACAGACGAGGAGCUUGCUCCUCUGACGUUAGCGGCGGACGGGUGAGUAACACGUGGAUAACCUACCUAUAAGACUGGGAUAACUUCGGAAAACCGGAGCUAAUACCGGAUAAUAUAUUGAACCGCAUGGUUCAAUAGUGAAAGACGGUUUUGCUGUCACUUAUAGAUGGAUCCGCGCCGCAUUAGCUAGUUGGUAAGGUAACGGCUUACCAAGGCGACGAUGCGUAGCCGACCUGAGAGGGUGAUCGGCCACACUGGAACUGAGACACGGUCCAGACUCCUACGGGAGGCAGCAGUAGGGAAUCUUCCGCAAUGGGCGAAAGCCUGACGGAGCAACGCCGCGUGAGUGAUGAAGGUCUUCGGAUCGUAAAACUCUGUUAUUAGGGAAGAACAAAUGUGUAAGUAACUAUGCACGUCUUGACGGUACCUAAUCAGAAAGCAACGGCUAACUACGUG
RNAcentral lists this ribosomal RNA (497 nucleotides) under uncultured bacterium. RNAcentral's name for it is "partial 16S ribosomal RNA". It matches the Rfam family "Bacterial small subunit ribosomal RNA", at positions 28 to 507 of the family's 1533-position model. The record is from RNAcentral.